Passer domesticus (house sparrow) is the source of this 1080-nucleotide long non-coding RNA. RefSeq lists it as uncharacterized. The transcript is spliced from 5 exons. NCBI's taxonomy places the organism in Eukaryota, Metazoa, Chordata, Aves, Passeriformes, Passeridae. The record is from RefSeq and is a predicted model, not a curated record.
GUGAGCCAGCUGCUCUCCUGUCAUAUGAAGUGUUUAUCCAGCUGUGGGCUGAAUGAUGCUAUGAGAAAUCCAAAAAGAUCACAUCAACUGGCUUCCCCAUAUCAGCUAGGUUGGCUAUCUUGUCAUAAACGGAAAUAACAUUUUACAAGCAGAAAACAGUGCUAAGCAUAGAGCAUCCAGAGUGGAGAUGCAUGGAUGGUUUAGAAACAGAGUGGUUUAGACCACUCAUCUGGUGACUGGUCAUCAUAAAUUGCAAGAUGAGUGGACACACUAAUUGAGAACAUCCAGGCUCAACAUAGGUUUUGACAGCAGCCAGGCUCAGAUCAGGGGAGGUGACUCAAGAGGAUCACUGAGCCAGGACUGAUUGCCCUCUUCCCUCUGGCAGCCCCUGAAGAAGGACCAGCUGUCCAGGAGCCUGCCCAGCCCUCAGGGAUGUGCAGCACCCAUCUGCCAAGAGUGUAAUGCCUCCAGGGUCAGUCUCUAUGGUGGGCUGCAUCUUGGCCUCCAGGCAUGAAUCAAGAUCAGCAAGAGCUGGUGCAUGGGCAGACGCAGAUAUGGCACUCCUCCUUCAGCUCCUGUGUGCUGGGAGCAGGAAACAAGGCAGUGGCAUUGCUGUCAGCACCCUGGAACAACUUCUAAAUCACAGGAGAAUGCCUGGAGAGUAGUGGAGAUCUCACCUGUGGGCCAGACACUUCUGUUUAAUAGGCACCAUUUGUGGCUUUGAUGCGAUUGCGAUAAAAAACCCAGAUGGGACAUAACCUCUAGUUCAUGCCAUUUUUAGCUACUUUUCAUUGCCUAUGGUUUUGCUGAAGGCAUUUGCUAUUCAAAAUUGGUUAUAGAAGAAAUCAGAUGCUACAAAAAAUUUAUGGGAAUUCCUUAUUCCAAACUUCCAACAUUCAGAGUGUAUUAGUAACACUUAAAUAAUCACAAAGCAAUGCACAGAAAGGUUUCUGCUGUCUUGCUGUGUAUGCACAAUUCCUAAAAUAAGAUUUUUGGCUGCAAAUAGCUAUAAUUAUGAAUUUAUAAUUAACUUCAGUAAAAGUUCUAUCAGGAUAAAUUCAAAUUCACUCCUAUUUGAUA